GACAAAGACUUAGUCCUAACCUUACCGUUGGUUGUUGCUAGGUAUAUACAUGCGAGUAUCCGCGCACCAGUGUAGACGCCCUGGGUACCCUAAAUCUUAGGUCGACAGGAGCAGGUAUCAGGCACACCCAUGCUGUAGCCCAAAACGCCUUGCAAUUGCCACGCCCCCACGGGUCCUCAGCAGUAAUUAGUAUUAAGCAAUGAGUGCAAACUUGACUUAGCCAUAGCAAAUCAGGGGCGGUAAAUCCUGUGCCAGCCACCGCGGUCAUACAGGAGACCCAAAUCAACGUUAUAACGGCGUAAAGUGUGGUCACAUGUUAUCUAAAGUAGCUAAGAUUAAAAGGCAACUGAGCUGUCGCAAGCCCAAGAUGCCCAUAAGGCCUCUACCAAAGAAAAUCUUAGACCAAAGAUCUAUUGAAACCCACGAAAGCCAGGGCCCAAACUGGGAUUAGAUACCCCACUAUGCCUGGCCCUAAAUCUUGAUGCUCGAUCUUACCGGAGCAUCCGCCCGAGAACUACGAGCACAAACGCUUAAAACUCUAAGGACUUGGCGGUGCUCCAAACCCACCUAGAGGAGCCUGUUCUAUAACUCGAUGAUCCACGAUAUACCUGACCAUUCCUUGCCAGAACAGCCUAUAUACCGCCGUCGCCAGCCCACCCCGCAUGAAGGCCCAACAGUGGACGCAAUAGCCUUACCCCGCUAAUAAGACAGGUCAAGGUAUAGCCUAUGGAAUGGAAGCAAUGGGCUACAUUUUCUAGACUAGAACACAACGGCAAAGGGACUUGAAACUGUCCCUGGAAGGCGGAUUUAGCAGUAAAGAGAGACAAUCGAGCCCUCUUUAAGCCGGCCCUAGAGCACGUACAUACCGCCCGUCACCCUCCUCAAAAGCGACCCC
Molecule: non-coding RNA, 895 nt
Filed under: Phylloscopus griseolus
Lineage: Eukaryota; Metazoa; Chordata; Aves; Passeriformes; Phylloscopidae
Description: partial 12S ribosomal RNA
Rfam family: Bacterial small subunit ribosomal RNA
Source: RNAcentral